AGAGUUUGAUCCUGGCUCAGAUUGAACGCUGGCGGCAGGCCUAACACAUGCAAGUCGAACGGUAACAUUUCUAGCUUGCUAGAAGAUGACGAGUGGCGGACGGGUGAGUAAUGCUUGGGAACUUGCCUUUGCGAGGGGGAUAACAGUUGGAAACGACUGCUAAUACCGCAUAAUGUCUUCGGACCAAACGGGGCUUCGGCUCCGGCGCAAAGAGAGGCCCAAGUGAGAUUAGCUAGUUGGUAAGGUAACGGCUUACCAAGGCGACGAUCUCUAGCUGUUCUGAGAGGAAGAUCAGCCACACUGGGACUGAGACACGGCCCAGACUCCUACGGGAGGCAGCAGUGGGGAAUAUUGCACAAUGGGGGAAACCCUGAUGCAGCCAUGCCGCGUGUGUGAAGAAGGCCUUCGGGUUGUAAAGCACUUUCAGUUGUGAGGAAAAGUUAGUAGUUAAUACCUGCUAGCCGUGACGUUAACAACAGAAGAAGCACCGGCUAACUCCGUGCCAGCAGCCGCGGUAAUACGGAGGGUGCGAGCGUUAAUCGGAAUUACUGGGCGUAAAGCGCACGCAGGCGGUUUGUUAAGCUAGAUGUGAAAGCCCCGGGCUCAACCUGGGAUGGUCAUUUAGAACUGGCAGACUAGAGUCUUGGAGAGGGGAGUGGAAUUCCAGGUGUAGCGGUGAAAUGCGUAGAUAUCUGGAGGAACAUCAGUGGCGAAAGCGACUCCCUGGCCAAGACUGACGCUCAUGUGCGAAAGUGUGGGUAGCGAACAGGAUUAGAUACCCUGGUAGUCCACACCGUAACGCUGUCUACUAGCUGUGUGUGUCUUUAAGACGUGCGUAGCGAAGCUAACGCGCU
RNAcentral lists this ribosomal RNA (854 nucleotides) under uncultured Alteromonas sp. RNAcentral describes it as "bacterial SSU rRNA". It matches the Rfam family "Bacterial small subunit ribosomal RNA", at positions 8 to 861 of the family's 1533-position model. Lineage: Bacteria; Pseudomonadati; Pseudomonadota; Gammaproteobacteria; Alteromonadales; Alteromonadaceae. The record is from RNAcentral.